This 260-nucleotide ribosomal RNA is filed under the name uncultured soil bacterium. Its description in RNAcentral is "partial 16S ribosomal RNA". It matches the Rfam family "Bacterial small subunit ribosomal RNA", at positions 26 to 287 of the family's 1533-position model. The record is from RNAcentral.
AGGACGAACGCUGGCGGCGUGCCUAACACAUGCAAGUCGAACGGGACCAGGGGCAACUCUGGUUCAGUGGCGGACGGGUGCGUAACACGUGAGGAACAUGACCCUCGGCGGGGGAUAGCCGGCCCAACGGCCGGGUAAUACCGCGUACGACCACAUGGGGACAUCCCUGAGUGGUGAAAGCAGCAAUGCGCCGAUGGAGUGCCUCGCGGCCUAUCAGCUAGUUGGUGAGGUAACGGCUCACCAAGGCAACGACGGGUAGC